RNAcentral lists this ribosomal RNA (554 nucleotides) under uncultured bacterium. Its description in RNAcentral is "partial 16S ribosomal RNA". It matches the Rfam family "Bacterial small subunit ribosomal RNA", at positions 355 to 900 of the family's 1533-position model. The record is from RNAcentral.
UAGGGAAUCUUCCACAAUGGACGCAAGUCUGAUGGAGCAACGCCGCGUGAGUGAAGAAGGUUUUCGGACCGUAAAGCUCUGUUGUUGGUGAAGAAGGAUAGAGGUAGUAACUGGCCUUUAUUUGACGGUAAUCAACCAGAAAGUCACGGCUAACUACGUGCCAGCAGCCGCGGUAAUACGUAGGUGGCAAGCGUUGUCCGGAUUUAUUGGGCGUAAAGCGAGCGCAGGCGGAAGAAUAAGUCUGAUGUGAAAGCCCUCGCUUAACCGAGGAAUUGCAUCGGAAACUGUUUUCUUGAGUGCAGAAGAGGAGAGUAGAACUCCAUGUGUAGCGGUGGAAUGCGUAGAUAUAUGGAAGAAUACCAGUGGCGAAGGCGGCUCUCUGGUCUGCAACUGACGCUGAGGCUCGAAAGCAUGGGUAGCGAACAGGAUUAGAUACCCUGGUAGUCCAUGCCGUAAACGAUGAGUGCUAAGUGUUGGGAGGCUUCCGCCUCUCAGUGCUGCAGCUAACGCAUUAAGCACUCCGCCUGGGGGAAGUACGACCGCAAGGUUGAAAC